This 482-nucleotide ribosomal RNA is filed under the name uncultured bacterium. Its description in RNAcentral is "partial 16S ribosomal RNA". It matches the Rfam family "Bacterial small subunit ribosomal RNA", at positions 30 to 507 of the family's 1533-position model. The record is from RNAcentral.
AUUGAACGCUGGCGGCAUGCCUUACACAUGCAAGUCGAACGGUAACGGGCCUUCGGGUGCCGACGAGUGGCGAACGGGUGAGUAAUACAUCGGAACGUGCCCGAUCGUGGGGGAUAACGAGGCGAAAGCUUUGCUAAUACCGCAUACGAUCUACGGAUGAAAGCAGGGGACCGCAAGGCCUUGCGCGGACGGAGCGGCCGAUGGCAGAUUAGGUAGUUGGUGGGAUAAAAGCUUACCAAGCCGACGAUCUGGAGCUGGUCUGAGAGGAUGAUCAGCCACACUGGGACUGAGACACGGCCCAGACUCCUACGGGAGGCAGCAGUGGGGAAUUUUGGACAAAGGGCGCAAGCCUGAUCCAGCCAUGCCGCGUGCAGGAUGAAGGCCUUCGGGUUGUAAACUGCUUUUGUACGGAACGAAAAGCCUUCUUUUAAUACAGGAGGGUCAUGACGGUACCGUAAGAAUAAGCACCGGCUAACUACGUG